Long non-coding RNA from Camellia sinensis, 776 nucleotides. RefSeq lists it as uncharacterized. The record is from RefSeq and is a predicted model, not a curated record. NCBI's taxonomy places the organism in Eukaryota, Viridiplantae, Streptophyta, Magnoliopsida, Ericales, Theaceae.
AAGAACAAAAAUGAUUUGUAGCUCGAAAUAAAUGAGCUCAAAUUGCCUGAACACAAGCAAUGACUAUUCUCCCUCCUCAGACUUCAAAAGCAUCUCUCUCUACUCACUCCAAACUCAGACUCCAAAAGCAUCGCUCUUCUCAAACUCCAAAAGCAUUUGAUCCCUUCAUCUCUUCGAAAUCCUCUCAUCCUCUCAUCGCUCUUGUAUCAUCUCAUCUCUCAUCCCUCUAUGAAACAUCCAUCUCUGUGAAAGCAUAGAGAAGGUGCUUAGCUACCGGUGUCGACUCACAGAUAGCGAAGGACGACCAAAAACGCUUCACCUACUGGAUGUGCGAUGUAUCUCAUACAUUAACGAUUCCAGAAAGUAGUUUACCUACCAGAACAAAAGAGUAAUAAGGAAUACUGCAAUUACUUCAAGUUCACAAAUGAUGACGACGACGACGACAUGACCUCCAUAAUCCAUUCCAAUGCUGGACCUUGUAAACCUAUAAGAAUCGAAGAAUUUAACAAUCUAAGAACAAGGCUUUCAGAGAUGGACAAUGAAUUUCAUGAGCAUGAUAGAAGGUUUCGAAAGAUGGAGAAGAAUUUCAAGGCGAUGCUUUAUGUCUUUGUAUUUUGUAUCGUUUCGUACUUUAUAAUGUAAAUUACUGAGUUGUUAGCUUUUGGAGAAUUUCAUGAAUGUAUUUAUGGAUUGAAUGGACUUGAUGGAUUGUGUGUAUGUGUUGUGAUAAAUUGAAUGUGGGUAUAUCAGUAAUGAUAAAACUGUUCUAUUUUCAA